Molecule: long non-coding RNA, 1675 nt
Organism: Anolis carolinensis (green anole)
Lineage: Eukaryota; Metazoa; Chordata; Lepidosauria; Squamata; Anolidae
Exons: 2
Source: RefSeq, a predicted model, not a curated record
GAACAUGGCCAUACAGCUCGGAAAACACACAACAACCCUGUGAUCCCGGCCAUGAAAGCCUUUGACAACACAAACAUAUUUAUGUUUAUUUCUUUAAGAUUUGCAGACUGAGGUAGAAAUAGCAUGCAAAAGUGUCAUGGAUCAGAAAUUAGCAGAUGAGAUUAUCAUUAAUGGGUUGCUGUCUGGCUGCUGCUGCCUCAUAGCUUUUUCCCAUGAUACUCUGGGACUGGAAGGCAUAUGUGGUACAUAGGUAUCUUGCAGAAACAUAUGUCUCCAUCUGGAUCUGGACAUUUAUGUAGUCUCUCAUCACUAAACAUCACACAAAAGGUCUCAUAAUGCUACUAGCUGAUAGGAAGUCUUCUGUAUGUUGUGAGGACAAUUGAGGAGAACUUAAAUUUAAACCUGCUUUCUUGCCUCACGUUUGCAGUAAAAUGUAAUGUACUUUUGUAUCUUUUGAAUAAGAAUACUUUUUAACAACUUGAUUCAGCAUAGCCCAGGAGCCUAAAAGAUGUAAGAACGAAUUCUUCCUACAAAACAGGAUUUACUUUUACUUUGACUUCUUCUUUCCUGGUUUUGUCUUAACUUGUGAAAUGCUCAUGGUCAACUGAAGUGCUGAUCUCAUGUGUAUUAUUUUUGAAGGAGAUAUAAUGAAAACUGGUCUGGGUUAGUGGUAAAUCAUAAUUUCUAUCUGGGUUUAGGACUGGUAAACAAAACAAUAAAGGCAGCAGCAGUGAAUGGACUUCCACACUGAAUGAUCGGAGCCAGGUGCCAUUAUUCCUUUGUUCAAUGUAUUACUAAUACUCGACUACACACUUUUUCAAAUUGAUGGGGACACAGCUUUGAGACAAAAAAGAAAACCUUCAAAAAGGGCAAUAAGGAGAGCACCAUGAUCAUUUAUAUUAAAAAUUGUCAUUAUAUAUGAGACUUCAUGUACUAUCAAACAUUUAGAGCAGCUGUGUCCAACUUUCCAGCCCCUGGAAACCACCCAAAACAAAAAUUAAAAUACUUCCAGUGUAGUUUUGCCAAUGGCAUGACAAACUGAUUAAGUUGCCAUUGGUCAGUAAAUGCAACAACUCCACUUCUUGUCAGCAGCUCAUACAUUUUCUUUUCAAUCCAGGAAUUUAGAAAAAAAUUAAGCAGCUAGUAGAAGCGCCUAUAAAAGGGCGUCACUGAGCCUCGCCAAAAUCCUGCCAUCUCAUUAUGAUUAAUGGGGAGGUCCUGGACUGUUCAAAUUACAUUAUUUGAGAGCAGUGUUCUUAUGUCUGAACUUUAACUCUGUACCUUUGUCAAUGGGUACACAGAAAAGGAGAAAGCUUACACUGGCAUUAAUACUCCCACAGAGAACGGCCAUAACUAAAGGAUCCACUUUGGAUGCAGCAGAUCUCUACCAUCUAUUGUUAUAGCAAGAAACAAAUCAAGCAUGAAACCUGGAAAGCUGCUGCCUGUCGCUGUCAACAGUACCUGACCAAAAGGAUUUACGGUCUGGUUGGGUUUAAGAGAAGGUCCCAUGUGGUUGCAUACCUUACAUUCAGAGAAUUCGAGAACUGCAUUUUUGCAUUGUAUCUGGAUGAUUUGGUUUAGGGUGGUAUUGUAUUGGUUUGCGGUUUUAUUAUUUCUUUACUCUCUGUGUGUCUCUGUAUAUAAAUAAAAUCUAGAUUGAAUGCCUUCAGCAGGA